RNAcentral lists this ribosomal RNA (460 nucleotides) under uncultured bacterium. RNAcentral's name for it is "partial 16S ribosomal RNA". It matches the Rfam family "Bacterial small subunit ribosomal RNA", at positions 338 to 795 of the family's 1533-position model. The record is from RNAcentral.
CCUACGGGAGGCAGCAGUGAGGAAUAUUGGGCAAGGGACGAGAGUCUGAACCAGCCAAGGAGCGUGAAGGAAGACGGCCCUAUGGGGUGUAAACUGCUUUUAUAAAGGAAUAAAACGAGGCACGUGUGCCUUUUUGCAUGUACCUUAUGAAUAAGGAUCGGCUAACUCCGUGCCAGCAGCCGCGGUAAUACGGAGGAUCCGAGCGUUAUCCGGAUUUAUUGGGUUUAAAGGGUGCGUAGGUGGGGUGUUAAGUCAGUGGUGAAAGUUCGCGGCUCAACCGUAGAAUUGCAUUUGAUACUGGCAGUCUUGAGUACAGUUGAGGUAGGCGGAAUGCGUGGUGUAGCGGUGAAAUGCUUAGAUAUCACGCAGAACCCCGAUUGCGAAGGCAGCUUACCAAACUGUGACUGACAUUGAUGCACGAAAGUGUGGGUAUCAAACAGGAUUAGAUACCCCAGUAGUC